This 423-nucleotide ribosomal RNA is filed under the name uncultured bacterium. RNAcentral describes it as "bacterial SSU rRNA". It matches the Rfam family "Bacterial small subunit ribosomal RNA", at positions 358 to 773 of the family's 1533-position model. The record is from RNAcentral.
GGAAUAUUGGACAAUGGGCGAAAGCCUGAUCCAGCGACGCCGCGUGUGUGAAGAAGGCCUGCGGGUUGUAAAGCACUUUCGAUGGGAACGAAAUGUGCCGGGCUAAUACCCCGGCAAGCUGACGUUACUCAAUGAAGAAGCACCGGCUAACUCUGUGCCCGCAGCCGCGGUAAUACAGCGGGUGCGAGCGUUAAUCGGAAUUACUGGGCGUAAAGCGCACGUAGGUGGUUUGUUAAGUCUGAUGUGAAAGCCCUGGGCUCAACCUGGGAAUUGCAUUGGAUACUGGCAGUCUAGAGUGCGGUAGAGGGUAGCGGAAUUCCCGGUGUAGCAGUGAAAUGCGUAGAUAUCGGGAGGAACAUCCGUGGCGAAGGCGGCUACCUGGACCAGCACUGACACUGAGGCACGAAAGCGUGGGGAGCAAAC